This 257-nucleotide ribosomal RNA is filed under the name uncultured bacterium. RNAcentral describes it as "partial 16S ribosomal RNA". It matches the Rfam family "Bacterial small subunit ribosomal RNA", at positions 524 to 777 of the family's 1533-position model. The record is from RNAcentral.
UACGUAGGGUGCAAGCGUUGUCCGGAAUUAUUGGGCGUAAAGAGCUCGUAGGCGGCCUGUCGCGUCGGCUGUGAAAACCCGGGGCUCAACCCCGGGCCUGCAGUCGAUACGGGCAGGCUAGAGUCCGGCAGGGGAGACGUGGAAUUCCUGGUGUAGCGGUGAAAUGCGCAGAGUAUCAGGAGGAACACCGGUGGCGAAGGCGGGUCUCUGGGGCCGGAACUGACGCUAAGGAGCGAAAGCGUGGGUAGCAAACGAGG